GUAAAGAGAAUAUAUCCUCAGUCAUGGAGAUUUCAUCACGUUCCUGUAAUUCCAAUGUGGCAUUUGAGACAUCUCACUUUAAUCAGAAGUCAAUUUUGUCUGAAUUACUGUUUGUAAGGUGUAAAGUGACAGAUGAAGACAAAAGAGUGCAGCUGUUUCCCUUCAGCCCUCCGUCCUCGGGUUGGUCAUGGUGGUAUGUUUAUGUGACUGUGGGUUUAUCAGCACUCUUAAUUAUCAUAGUGAUCAUCUCAUGGAAGAAAAUGAAAGGAAAUAAAGAACAAAAGGAAGGAAAUAAGGAACCAAGCUUAAGCCCCAAAGAGGCUCAGUCUGGUUCAGAAGCCAGUCACAACACUCUUGCUGCGAGACCUCACACCGUGCACAUCUACUGCGGGUGUGGUGCCUGUUAUCGACCCGGAGUUAGCAACAUGCACCCGAAGAGGAGAGUCCUGGCCCCUAGCCCUGCCAGUGUAGCAGAAAUGAUGACGGAUGAUGAUGGCAGCAGCAGCCGUUCUUCUCUGCGCUGAACCUGACGACGGUGUUUCUUAUGCCACCAUCAGCUUUGCCAAGAAGACCCAGAAUAAAGCCAGGGAAUUUCUUAUUCAUGUUUUCUUUAAGGUACCCUGUAAUGGUGCAGAUGAUACUGUGACAUACAGCACUGUAAACGCUUCCUCAUCUUCUGCUGGAUAUUCUUCUUCCAGUGAUCUCUAUUCCAUCAUCAACAAACCAAAGAAAUAUAUGACUGGAUUAUGAUUUCUUUUCUUGUGCACUAUCGUACAUGAAGCCACCGAGAUAACACAGACUCCCUCUAGAGGUGGAGAGGGUGAAAAUAUUCCCAGA
Astatotilapia calliptera (eastern happy) is the source of this 837-nucleotide long non-coding RNA. The record is from Ensembl. NCBI's taxonomy places the organism in Eukaryota, Metazoa, Chordata, Actinopteri, Cichliformes, Cichlidae.